CUCAGAUGACUUAAAUCCUUCCCAUGGGUACAUCAACACAUUAUUGAGCAAUUACAUUCUCUUGUGGCAGUCAUCUGUGGAAUAAGUAAACUCCCUCUAUUAUCCACACAAUGAUAUCAUGCACCAUAAAUGCAUGCUUGGCCUCCAUUGUGUCAACAAUCAGUUACAUUCUCAAAGGAAGAAAUGUGAAUAUAGUUCUGAAACUACACUGACUAAUAACCAGGUCAGUUUUAUUACCUGUUUCUACCUUGAGUGCCAACAUUACAUUUAAUGUAAAAGACUAACAUAAAAGGAGAAGAUAAAUGUAAUGACCUCCACGUGGGAUGGGACCUUUGAAAGGGCAAGGCCCAGCACUCUUCCCAGCCUGGAUUAUCCCAGCAUUGGAGAGAAUAUUUAUGACUGUCGAAGUGAGGCUGAGUUCCUGGAGACGGGAUAACGCAUGGCUUUAUGCUGCCAGACAGAGAGUUCCUUCUGGUGGUCACACCAAUGUUUUUUCAUACUCCCACGGACACCACAACUUUUUUGGAUAAGGAAGAAGAUGAUGGAACACAGAUGAGGGAAAGAAAUGGCCUCAGAGAACUUGGAUACAUGGGGGUAUUUUUACCCUUUGGGGUUUUUUCUUCCUGAAUUUCAAUGAGUGGCUUAUUGGAAACUUCUUUGGGUUUGAAGUGUUUUGUUCUUGUUCCACACACACAAAACUGUUUUGGGUUGUUUUGUUUGUCUUUGUUUAUAAUGCAGCUGAGAUAGGGUGACUUGAUAUUUUUAAAAUAGAAAACUGAUGCCUUCUGAGGGAAUGAGGGGGAACAGAGGAGAACUUCACUAGCUGGAAACAUGGGUCAUGCCAGGGACAAUUUGUUGCUGUGAAGAAUGUGUUAGAGAUGGGAGGAGGAUUGUGUAGAAGCUGGUACAGAGGGAAGAAUAAUGCUUGAGUGCCUAAUACACUGACUGUUCUCCAAAUGCUGGACCCUAAUUGCUCUUCAAUGGCAGUCAUGUAUCUCCUUUCAUUUAUGAUUUUUUUUUCCUCCUCUCUCUCUUUUAAGAGAAAUCAUUGAUUGAACUGUUCGAACCCUCAGCAUUAGCAAUUAUCAGGUACUGAAUGCCAAAUAGAUACCUCCUAUUUCAUACACUAUUGUCACAGUAUCUCCUAUCACUCCCUAAAAA
Molecule: long non-coding RNA, 1161 nt
Organism: Cygnus olor (mute swan)
Lineage: Eukaryota; Metazoa; Chordata; Aves; Anseriformes; Anatidae
Exons: 3
Source: RefSeq, a predicted model, not a curated record